UACCCAGAGCAUGCAUUGUGGA
Molecule: microRNA, 22 nt
Filed under: Echinops telfairi (small Madagascar hedgehog)
Lineage: Eukaryota; Metazoa; Chordata; Mammalia; Afrosoricida; Tenrecidae
Description: Ete-Mir-1912_3p (mature (guide))
Source: RNAcentral